This 711-nucleotide ribosomal RNA is filed under the name uncultured bacterium. RNAcentral's name for it is "bacterial SSU rRNA". It matches the Rfam family "Bacterial small subunit ribosomal RNA", at positions 28 to 762 of the family's 1533-position model. The record is from RNAcentral.
GACGAACGCUGGCGGCAUGCCUAAUACAUGCAAGUCGAACGAUACCGCAAGGUAUAGUGGCGGACGGGUGAGUAACGCGUGGGCAACCUGCCCUGAAGAUUGGGAUAACACCCCGAAAGGGGUGCUAAUACCAAAUGUAGUUGCGGUACCGCAUGGUACUGCAAAAAAAGGAGCAAUCCACUUCAGGAUGGGCCCGCGUCUGAUUAGCUAGUUGGUGGGGUAACGGCCUACCAAGGCGACGAUCAGUAGCCGACCUGAGAGGGUGAUCGGCCACACUGGGACUGAGACACGGCCCAGACUCCUACGGGAGGCAGCAGUCGGGAAUAUUGGGCAAUGGACGAAAGUCUGACCCAGCAAUGCCGCGUGAGUGACGAAGGUCUUCGGAUCGUAAAGCUCUGUCUUCAGGGACGAAAAAAGUGACGGUACCUGAGGAGGAAGCCCCGGCUAACUACGUGCCAGCAGCCGCGGUAAUACGUAGGGGGCGAGCGUUGUCCGGAAUUACUGGGCGUAAAGGGCGAGUAGGCGGCUAUACAAGUCAGAUGUGAAAUACUGAGGCUUAACCUCAGGGCUGCAUUUGAAACUGUAUAGCUUGAGUGCAGGAGAGGAAAGUGGAAUUCCCCAGUGUAGCGGUGAAAUGCGUAGAUAUUGGGAGGAACACCAGUGGCGAAGGCGACUUUCUGGACUGUAACUGACGCUGAGGCGCGAAAGCUG